This 509-nucleotide ribosomal RNA is filed under the name uncultured bacterium. RNAcentral's name for it is "bacterial SSU rRNA". It matches the Rfam family "Bacterial small subunit ribosomal RNA", at positions 28 to 531 of the family's 1533-position model. The record is from RNAcentral.
GACGAACGCUGGCGGCGUGCCUAACACAUGCAAGUCGAGCGGAGUCGAUCGACGGAAGCCUUCGGGCGGAAGAUGGUUGACUUAGCGGCGGAUGGGUGAGUAACGCGUGGGCAACCUGCCUCGAAGACCGGGAUAACAGCCCGAAAGGGCUGCUAAUACCGGAUGUGGUCAAGGAUCCGCAUGGAUUUUUGAUUAAAGGGGAAACCCGUUUCGAGAUGGGCCCGCGUCCUAUCAGCUAGUUGGUGAGGUAAAAGCUCACCAAGGCGACGACGGGUAGCCGGCCUGAGAGGGUGACCGGCCACACUGGAACUGAGACACGGUCCAGACUCCUACGGGGGCAGCAGUGGGGAAUCUUCCACAAUGGGCGAAAGCCUGAUGGAGCGACGCCGCGUGAGCGAAGAAGGCCUUCGGGUUGUAAAGCUCUGUCUGGAGGGACGAAGGAAGUGACGGUACCUCCGGAGGAAGCCACGGCUAACUACGUGCCAGCAGCCGCGGUAAGAUCACGUGUA